Molecule: long non-coding RNA, 700 nt
Organism: Chinchilla lanigera (long-tailed chinchilla)
Lineage: Eukaryota; Metazoa; Chordata; Mammalia; Rodentia; Chinchillidae
Exons: 6
Source: RefSeq, a predicted model, not a curated record
GGCCCCGCCCGGGGGAGGGCCGACGGGGGCGUCCUCGCUGACGCGCGCUGUGUGGCCAGUGCCCCCGCACGGGCGGGUCUCAAGGAAGGGCUGCCCUAACCCAGGAAUGUGUCCAGCCAGGGUAUGGUAUGCCACUGAGGGGCUAGCAUUAGCUUCAAAACAGAGGAGCCAGCAGAAACAAACACCCAGAAGGAACAGUCAGAGAAGUUGAAGAAGACCUGAGGAUUUGUGUCCUGGAAUCCCAGAAAGUCAAGAAGAUGAUGAAUGAGGCUGCAAGCUGCAGACCAAUCAAGCAGGUGCUUGUGCCACUGAGCUAUAUCCCCAGCCCGCUGUUCUUAACAUAUGUUGACCAACUGCUUCUGCUUUGAUGGAAAAGGACUUCCAGGGCCCCAAGGAGCCUGUAUCCUUUUACGACAAUUUUUCUCCAGAAUGAAGCAUAUAUCUAUGUGAGUACAGCUGGCUAUGUUGUAUGAUGCCCUAGAGGACAGGCACACAUGGAAAGGACGGAAGUCUCCAGACAACAGCUGAGGAUGACUGAGGCCACCUGAGUGAGCUUGGAAACCAGCCCAUCUCUCAUCAAUCCCUGAGAUGAAUGUAUCCCUGGCCUGUGGCUUUAUUGCCAGCUAGAGUGGGUCAUUACCUCAGAGUCACAUCCAGAAGAAACCCCAACCCAACUCCUACAAAAGCUUUAAGAAGCAAG